RNAcentral lists this long non-coding RNA (666 nucleotides) under Zostera marina. RNAcentral's name for it is "long non-coding RNA (ZMAR_LNC005834)". The record is from RNAcentral. Lineage: Eukaryota; Viridiplantae; Streptophyta; Magnoliopsida; Alismatales; Zosteraceae.
GAGAUAUUUGAUUUCAGUCGUUGUUUUCCUCUGCUAAUAGGGGCAACCAUCUCUGGUUCCCCAAGGGAUAGCGGGACGAUACCACGUCCACGACCACGGCCUCCCCCACCUCUGUUUGGGCGACGUGUUCUUCGACGGUUGCCUCUGCUACUUUCCAUUUAAAUUCUGUCUCGAUUUGCAAAGAAAAUCAGACUAAAAUAAAAAUAAAAUUGGAAACAAGAAAACAAAAUUGAACAUAAAUAGAAUACAAUAUAUUGAUGUAAUCAAUGAAGAACACACAACAACAAAUUUAACUAAAAGAACAAUUUCAAAAGGAAAUAAAAGAACACACACACUUAUUUCAUUUACAAUAAUCACCAAAAUUACCAUAAAAUAAACAACCAAAACAGAGAAAUUAAAAAUCACAGAACAAAGGUGAAGGAGACGGCAUUUACGUUUUGAAGAACACUCUAAACGAACUGUUAGAACUCAAACCACAGAGACGAAGAACAUUUAAAAAUUCUAUGAUGAAACACACUAAUCCAGCAUCUUCUCAAUCAAGAAUCAUAUACGUUUGACACAAAAAAAUUGAGGGGGUGCCAAAUAUGAAAUCAAAACUAACCUAAAAUGGAAAGAAAGUCAAACUCAAAUAGUUGGUAUGAUGUAGCUGAUGUAGCUCGUACACUU